GGGGGUAUAGCUCAGCUGGGAGAGCGCUUGCAUGGCAUGCAAGAGGUCAGCGGUUCGAUCCCGCU
This 65-nucleotide transfer RNA is filed under the name Proteobacteria bacterium ST_bin16. RNAcentral describes it as "tRNA-Ala". It matches the Rfam family "tRNA", at positions 1 to 63 of the family's 71-position model. From Rfam's summary of the family: Transfer RNA (tRNA) molecules are approximately 80 nucleotides in length. Their secondary structure includes four short double-helical elements and three loops (D, anti-codon, and T loops). Lineage: Bacteria; Pseudomonadati; Pseudomonadota. The record is from RNAcentral.